GUGCGGGGCCCGUGCAAUACAGGCCUGUGAACCCCGUCAGGUCCGGAGGGAAGCAGCGGUAAGCAGUCACCUGUAGGUGCCGCGGGGAAACCUGGUUCGG
This 100-nucleotide signal recognition particle RNA is filed under the name Clostridiaceae bacterium. Its description in RNAcentral is "signal recognition particle sRNA small type". It matches the Rfam family "Bacterial small signal recognition particle RNA". Rfam says of the family: The signal recognition particle (SRP) is a universally conserved ribonucleoprotein involved in the co-translational targeting of proteins to membranes. Archaeal SRP consists of a 7S RNA and homologues of the eukaryotic SRP19 and SRP54 proteins. RNAcentral also lists the same sequence under 1 other name. Lineage: Bacteria; Bacillati; Bacillota; Clostridia; Eubacteriales; Clostridiaceae. The record is from RNAcentral.